Acromyrmex echinatior (Panamanian leafcutter ant) is the source of this 697-nucleotide long non-coding RNA. RefSeq lists it as uncharacterized. The record is from RefSeq and is a predicted model, not a curated record. Lineage: Eukaryota; Metazoa; Arthropoda; Insecta; Hymenoptera; Formicidae.
GCAACAUUCUUCCAGUCCGUUCUGUAAAUGAAGAAUAUUCUCAGUUAAAUAUCACAGGAUAUAUGGUAUUGAUAAAGAGAAAUACUUUACUCUUGUUUAUUCCAAGUUUGAGACGCCUUUUCAACAACAAGGGGCAUACUGUGUAUAUAUCUUAGGAGUAUCAAAAUCAGGAGUAUCAGAAAGUUAUUUACAAUGAAACAAUCCUCCGUGUCGAUUUGAAAAGUCAUAUAGAAUGAUGACUAUGAGGAAGAAAUCGGAGCCGACUAACAUUUCUUCCGUGAAGUAAGAGAAAUAAGUUGCGGUAAGGAAACAACGAUCGUAGUCUUAAACUGGCAAACGCGUUUAUCGAGGAAUGCGUGAAAGUUAAGCGCAAUCUUGAUCACGCGCGAAGAAAUGCAAAUGAAAUGCGUCCCUUUCGCUGGCCGCGUUCUUCAGAAAUGUCUUUAACACUUGAUGAGUAAUGCUUUAGGCAAAAUGCUCUCAUUAUAUGUGAAGUUCGUAUAUCAGAAGUUCGUCUUUCUAAAGAAAGCUGUUUCUCUGUGAUAAUCUGCAAUAAUGUGAAAUUCAUAUAUUAAAUCAAUAAAUACAAAGAUCCUAUUUUUGCGUUCAGAAACACCACUCGUUCUUAUCGUUGUUAUUUUAUCAUUUAUUGAAUAUCAAACAAAAAAAAAUGAUAUACGGGUCGGUCAUGAUAUGA